CGGUAAAUCCCAGCACCCUUCCAAGUGGUUCCAGGGAGGGAUUAUUGGGCCUUAAAGCAUUCCGUAGCCCUGGUCUGUAAGGUUUCCGGUUAAAUCCCAUUUACUUCAACUGAUGGGCCGCCGGAAAGACUGCAAGCUAGGGAGUGGGAGAGGUAGACGGGUACUCGGUAGGAAGGGGGUAAAAUCCCUUUGAUCUAUUGAUGACCCACCUGUGGCGAAGGCCGGUCUACCAGAACACGUCCGACGGUGAGGGAUGAAAGCUGGGGGAGCAAACCCGGAUUAGAUACCCGGGUAGUCCCCAGCUGUAAACUAUGCAAAACUCAGUGAUGCAUUGGCUUGUGGCCCAAUGCAGUGCUGCAGGGAAGCCGUUAAGUUUGCCGCCUGGGAAGUACGUACGCAAGUAUGAAACUUAAAGGAAUUGGCGGGGGAGCACCACAAGGGGUGAAGCCUGCGGUUCAAUUGGAGUCAACGCCAGAAAUCUUACCCGGAGAGACAGCAGAAUGAAGGUCAAGCUGAAGACUUUACCAGACAAGCUGAGAGGUGGUGCAUGGCCGUCGUCAGCUCGUGCCGUGAGAUGUCCUGUUAAGUCAGGUAACGAGCGAGAUCCUUGCCUCUAGUUGCCACCAUUACUCUCAGGAGUAGUGGGGCGAAUUAGCGGGACCGCCGCAGUUAAUGCGGAGGAAGGAAAGGGCCACGGCAGGUCAGUAUGCCCCGAAACUCUGGGGCCACACGCGGGCUGCAAUGGUAAUGACAGUGGGUUUCGAAUCCGAAAGGAGGAGGUAAUCCUCAAACGUUACCACAGUUAUGACUGAGGGCUGCAACUCGCCCUCACGAAUAUGGAAUCCCUAGUAACUGCGUGUCAUUAUCGCGCGGUGAAUACGUCCCUGCUCCUUGCACUCACCGCCCGUCA
Molecule: ribosomal RNA, 910 nt
Filed under: uncultured bacterium
Lineage: Bacteria
Description: bacterial SSU rRNA
Rfam family: Archaeal small subunit ribosomal RNA
Source: RNAcentral